RNAcentral lists this long non-coding RNA (405 nucleotides) under Penaeus japonicus. RNAcentral describes it as "uncharacterized LOC122260813". The record is from RNAcentral. Lineage: Eukaryota; Metazoa; Arthropoda; Malacostraca; Decapoda; Penaeidae.
CUCCCGCCGUUCGAGCCGUUUAUGAACAAUGGUAUGACGUCACAAUCCUCACUUUCGGAAACAGCCUGGGGGAUUUCGAAUUACUCACUAAGUCGCUUCACCACGUGGCGGAGAAGCGCAACGUGAUCGUUACCUGUUCCGGUGAAAACACUGUCGCCAUCUUGGAAACGAUCAAAAAGGAGAACUUAGAGACUCCCAAGAUCCAGUGGUCAGUGAUUCUGCAAGAGGAUGUAACUACGGAGCAUCUGACCGCUUCCUUGAGAGAGGGAACACAGAUAGCCCUGGCGCUUCGGACCUCACCCUCCUCUUAUCGCUUGUUAACCUCAUACGUCGACACAGAAAAUACAAUUAGGUAAGCGAAGUGUCCGGCUGGCAAUGGGAAUUGUGUAUAUAGACAAGGAAAAU